GUGGGGAAUUUUGGACAAUGGGCGCAAGCCUGAUCCAGCAAUGCCGCGUGCAGGAAGAAGGCCUUCGGGUUGUAAACUGCUUUUGUACGGAACGAAAAGGCUCUGGUUAAUACCUGGGGCUCAUGACGGUACCGUAAGAAUAAGCACCGGCUAACUACGUGCCAGCAGCCGCGGUAAUACGUAGGGUGCAAGCGUUAAUCGGAAUUACUGGGCGUAAAGCGUGCGCAGGCGGUUUUGUAAGACAGACGUGAAAUCCCCGGGCUCAACCUGGGAAUGGCGUUUGUGACUGCAAAGCUGGAGUGCGGCAGAGGGGGAUGGAAUUCCGCGUGUAGCAGUGAAAUGCGUAGAUAUGCGGAGGAACACCGAUGGCGAAGGCAAUCCCCUGGGCCUGCACUGACGCUCAUGCACGAAAGCGUGGGGAGCAAACAGGAUUAGAAACCCUUGUAGCC
This 449-nucleotide ribosomal RNA is filed under the name uncultured bacterium. RNAcentral's name for it is "partial 16S ribosomal RNA". It matches the Rfam family "Bacterial small subunit ribosomal RNA", at positions 354 to 795 of the family's 1533-position model. The record is from RNAcentral.